CUACCCGGGUUUCUAAUCCUGUUUGCUACCCACGCUUUCGCGUCUCAGUGUCAGGUCCGGCCCAGAAGGCCGCCUUCGCCACCGGUAUUCCUCCUAAUAUCUACGAAUUUCACCUCUACACUAGGAAUUCCACCUUCCUCUACCGUCCUCUAGCUAAGUAGUUUCGGAUGCACUUCCUCGGUUGAGCCCAGGGAUUUCACACCCGACUUACUUAACCACCUACACGCGCUUUACGCCCAAUGAUUCCGAACAACGCUUGCACCCUACGUAUUACCGCGGCUGCUGGCAC
This 289-nucleotide ribosomal RNA is filed under the name uncultured Pseudomonadota bacterium. RNAcentral describes it as "uncultured proteobacterium partial 16S ribosomal RNA". Lineage: Bacteria; Pseudomonadati; Pseudomonadota. The record is from RNAcentral.